GAUGAACGCUGGCGGCGUGCCUAAUACAUGCAAGUCGAGCGAACAGACGAGGAGCUUGCUCCUCUGACGUUAGCGGCGGACGGGUGAGUAACGCGUGGAUAACCUACCUAUAAGACUGGGAUAACUUCGGGAAACCGGAGCUAAUACCGGAUAAUAUAUUGAACCGCAUGGUUCAAUAGUGAAAGACGGUUUUGCUGUCACUUAUAGAUGGAUCCGCGCCGCAUUAGCUAGUUGGUAAGGUAACGGCUUACCAAGGCAACGAUGCGUAGCCGACCUGAGAGGGUGAUCGGCCACACUGGAACUGAGACACGGUCCAGACUCCUACGGGAGGCAGCAGUAGGGAAUCUUCCGCAAUGGGCGAAAGCUUUACGGAGCAACGCCGCGUGAGUGAUGAAGGUCUUCGGAUCGUAAAACUCUGUUAUUAGGGAAGAACAAAUGUGUAAGUAACUAUGCACGUCUUGACGGUACCUAAUCAGAAAGCCACGGCUAACUACGUG
RNAcentral lists this ribosomal RNA (497 nucleotides) under uncultured bacterium. RNAcentral's name for it is "partial 16S ribosomal RNA". It matches the Rfam family "Bacterial small subunit ribosomal RNA", at positions 28 to 507 of the family's 1533-position model. The record is from RNAcentral.